UACGUAGGGUGCAAGCGUUAAUCGGAAUUACUGGGCGUAAAGCGUGCGCAGGCGGUUGUGUAAGACAGAUGUGAAAUCCCCGGGCUCAACCUGGGACCUGCAUUUGUGACUGCAUCGCUAGAGUACGGUAGAGGGGGAUGGAAUUCCGCGUGUAGCAGUGAAAUGCGUAGAUAUGCGGAGGAACACCGAUGGCGAAGGCAAUCCCCUGGACCUGUACUGACGCUCAUGCACGAAAGCGUGGGGAGCAAACAGG
RNAcentral lists this ribosomal RNA (253 nucleotides) under uncultured bacterium. RNAcentral's name for it is "partial 16S ribosomal RNA". It matches the Rfam family "Bacterial small subunit ribosomal RNA", at positions 524 to 776 of the family's 1533-position model. The record is from RNAcentral.